Molecule: long non-coding RNA, 416 nt
Filed under: Elaeis guineensis (African oil palm)
Lineage: Eukaryota; Viridiplantae; Streptophyta; Magnoliopsida; Arecales; Arecaceae
Description: long non-coding RNA (EGUI_LNC013925)
Source: RNAcentral
CCAUAAGAGAUUUCCGACGAUUUCUUCGAUAAAAUCCCAAGAAAAGAACUCGAUGAACAGACCCAAAUCGGUGGCAAAUUUUCCAAGGAAUCAUUGACGGUUUCUUGAAGAAUUUGUGAGGAAAUUCAAGGGAGGAGAAGAGCCUUUUUAUAGAUGGAUUUUUAGGGAUUUAAUCCAAAUUUUUGAAAGCCCCAAACACCAUUUUUUUCCUAGCCAAAGUCGGAGAAGAGGAAGACUCCCGAUGGGAGUCUUCCUUCUCCCAGCUUCACGUGCACGUGUAAGGGUUUUGGAUUUUUUUUUUAAAAUCUGGGUUAUUACAAGUUUUUUGGAUCAUCAAUGUGAAAUCGCCAUCAUCCGAUUUAGAAAAGAGUGUAAUUCUGUAAGAUUUAUGCUAACACCGGAUGUAACUUAAGCUU